CUUGCUCCUUUGACGUUAGCGGCGGACGGGUGAGUAACACGUGGGUAACCUACCUAUAAGACUGGGAUAACUUCGGGAAACCGGAGCUAAUACCGGAUAAUAUUUCGAACCGCAUGGUUCGAUAGUGAAAGGUGGUUUUGCUAUCACUUAUAGAUGGACCCGCGCCGUAUUAGCUAGUUGGUAAGGUAACGGCUUACCAAGGCGACGAUACGUAGCCGACCUGAGAGGGUGAUCGGCCACACUGGAACUGAGACACGGUCCAGACUCCUACGGGAGGCCAGGC
This 283-nucleotide ribosomal RNA is filed under the name uncultured Staphylococcus sp. RNAcentral describes it as "partial 16S ribosomal RNA". It matches the Rfam family "Bacterial small subunit ribosomal RNA", at positions 79 to 349 of the family's 1533-position model. The record is from RNAcentral. Lineage: Bacteria; Bacillati; Bacillota; Bacilli; Caryophanales; Staphylococcaceae.